RNAcentral lists this ribosomal RNA (119 nucleotides) under Triticum aestivum (bread wheat). The record is from RNAcentral. Lineage: Eukaryota; Viridiplantae; Streptophyta; Magnoliopsida; Poales; Poaceae.
GCAUGCGAUCAUACCAGCACUAAAGCAUCGGAUCCCAUCAGAACUCCAAAGUUAAGCGUGCUUGGGCGAGAGUAGUAAUAGGAUGGGUGACCUCCUGGGAAGUCCUCGUGUUGCAUUCC